AAUAGUAUUUCUAUUAUUUACUUGAAGUCGUAAUUAAUUUUCGACUUAUAAAACGAGUUAUAAAAUAUGUAAUUUAUAGAGAGUUAUAACGAAGCUUCGUUAUAUGGGAACCCGAAAUUAGUAUUACAAAUACAGAAUAAGGAUUUUAUUCAUCACAUUCAUCUAGCACCUACACAUACUUUUCAUUUCCACAUCCAUCUUACUCUUAAAUAAAUUGAUGGUGUUGGAAACACUCAUCAUAUGCCAACCAUUCCACUAAAUAAAGAGAUUCUUUACACUUUCUCCAGAUCAGCCCAUUCCUUUUGCCGGCCAUCUUCUACACCUUUAACAUCUCAACAUGCAACUUACUUUUAUUUAACCAAAAUCAGCAGCCAACAUUCCUCCCAUUCCUCCUUAGUUCUUCAAUAGCCAAAGAAGAGAUUGACUUCAUUCAAAGCUCUUACAGUAAACCUCAAGAGAUUCCAGCUAGACACCAAAUACCAGCUACAUCGAGGUCCGGGCGACAGAAAGUGAAGCAGAAGAAGAAACGACUCCACGCCAGCUUUAAGAACAAUUGAGGUUGAGCAGGCGAUGGAAUGGAUCGGUGUUGAGCGGAUUUCCCUUUUGAUGUUUAUGUAAUGAAACCUUGAGUAUGCAUCUCCAUAUGCAUAACUCACACGUUUUUCCGCUGCAAACACUCUGAAUUUGUUAUCGUAUUGUGGAACUUAUUACUCCUUCAUUUUGUUUAACUUUCAUUUGGGGUUUAGUCGUUAUGGCUGGCUCAUUUGUUAAUUACCCAAGUGGUUAUAUAUAUAUAUACCACUAGUUUGUUGUUAUUAAUGUUGGUUAUUUAGUAAAUCCCUUUUAAAUUU
Salvia miltiorrhiza (redroot sage) is the source of this 851-nucleotide long non-coding RNA. RefSeq lists it as uncharacterized. The record is from RefSeq and is a predicted model, not a curated record. The transcript has 4 exons. Lineage: Eukaryota; Viridiplantae; Streptophyta; Magnoliopsida; Lamiales; Lamiaceae.